AGAGUUUGAUCAUGGCUCAGAACGAACGCUGGCGGCAUGCCUAACACAUGCAAGUCGAACGCGUGGCUUCGGCCACGAGUGGCGCACGGGUGAGUAACGCGUGGGAACCUGCCCCGAGGUGGGGGAUAACCGAUGGAAACGUCGGCUAAUACCGCAUACGACCUGAGGGUGAAAGAUUUAUCGCCUUGGGAGGGGCCCGCGUCGGAUUAGCUAGUUGGUGGGGUAACGGCCUACCAAGGCGAUGAUCCGUAGCUGGUCUGAGAGGAUGAUCAGCCACACUGGGACUGAGACACGGCCCAGACUCCUACGGGAGGCAGCAGUGGGGAAUAUUGGACAAUGGGCGCAAGCCUGAUCCAGCAAUGCCGCGUGAGUGAUGAAGGCCUUAGGGUUGUAAAGCUCUUUCGGCGGGGACGAUGAUGACGGUACCCGCAGAAGAAGCCCCGGCUAACUUCGUGCCAGCAGCCGCGGUAAUACGAAGGGGGCAAGCGUUGUUCGGAAUUACUGGGCGUAAAGGGCGCGCAGGCGGCUCUUCAAGUCAGAUGUGAAAGCCCCGGGCUCAACCUGGGAAUAGCAUUUGGGACUGGAGGGCUAGAGAUCGGGAGAGGAGAGUGGAAUUCCCAGUGUAGAGGUGAAAUUCGUAGAUAUUGGGAAGAACACCGGUGGCGAAGGCGGCUCUCUGGACCGAUACUGACGCUGAGGCGCGAAAGCGUGGGGAGCAAACAGGAUUAGAUACCCUAGUAGUCC
This 744-nucleotide ribosomal RNA is filed under the name uncultured bacterium. Its description in RNAcentral is "bacterial SSU rRNA". It matches the Rfam family "Bacterial small subunit ribosomal RNA", at positions 8 to 796 of the family's 1533-position model. The record is from RNAcentral.